ACUUCCGUAGCUCAGUUGGAUAGAGCAUCGCCCUCCGAUGGCGGAGGUCGCGGGUUCGACUCCCGCCGGGAGUGCCA
This 77-nucleotide transfer RNA is filed under the name Ruminobacter amylophilus. Its description in RNAcentral is "tRNA_Arg_CCG". It matches the Rfam family "tRNA". From Rfam's summary of the family: Transfer RNA (tRNA) molecules are approximately 80 nucleotides in length. Their secondary structure includes four short double-helical elements and three loops (D, anti-codon, and T loops). Lineage: Bacteria; Pseudomonadati; Pseudomonadota; Gammaproteobacteria; Aeromonadales; Succinivibrionaceae. The record is from RNAcentral. RNAcentral also lists the same sequence under 2 other names.